CCUUACCCGCUGAACUUAAGCAUAUCAUUAAGGGGAGGAAAAGAAACUAACAAGGAUUCCCUCAGUAACGGCGAGUGAAGCGGGAAGAGCUCAAAUUGAAAACCGCCGCCCCAUUGGGGUGUUCGGGUUGUAAUCUAAAGAGGUACAUCCAGCGCUGUGGUCCGGGUCUAAGUCCUGCUGGAAUGCAGUAUCAGAGAGGGUGACAAUCCCGUCUUUGGCUCGACGCCCUACCGCGUACGGAGUGCUUUCUAAGAGUCGUGUAGGUCGGGAUUCCUGCACUAAUCGGGUGGUAAGCUCCAUCUAAGGCUAAAUAUUGGCGAGAGACCGAUAGCGAACAAGUACCGUGAGGGAAAGAUGAAAAGAACUUUGAAAAGAGAGUUAACAAGUACCUGAAAUUGCUAAGAGCGAAGCGAAUGAAUCUAGUCAUUUGCUGCGAGUCCAACCUGCCAAGUCGGAUGAUUCCCUGAUGUGUGUGGUUAAACCGCACUGAGGGGUGAUUUUCUGCUGGUAGAGACGGUCUUGUAGCAGUGUCACGGUCAUUUCUGUUUGCAGGAGAAAGUUCCAGGAAGGUGAGUCGUAGCGUUCCUCGCGUUCGUUACUUCAGUUAUAGCCUGGGAUCAUACUGCUUAUGGGAUUGAGGAGCAUAAGUCGCUGUGUCUGUUCUGCUUAUUGCUGAUCUCGGCUUCAGUUAACACAGUGUGUUGUCUGGGGUUUGAGGUUGGUACAUUUGUAGUUCUAGGUCUGCCACUUCGCGAUCGUGACGAAAUAGUUUUAUUUGACCCGUCUUGAAACACGGACCAAGGAGUCUAACGCAUAUGCGAGUUUUUGGGUGUUUAAAACCCCGAAGCGCAAUGAAAGUAAAGCGUGCUUGCACGUGAGGUAGGAACCGUAAGGGGCACUAUCGACCGAUCAGAUCCUUCGGGUGAAGAUUUGAGUAAGAGCAUAUUCGUUGGGACCCGAAAGAUGGUGAUCUAUGCCUGAACAGGGUGAAGCCAGGGGAAACUCUGGUGGAGGCUCGUAGCGAUACUGACGUGCAAAUCGUUCGUCUGAUUUGGGUAUAGGGGCGAAAGACUAAUCGAACCAUCUAGUAGCUGGUUCCCGCCGAAGUUUCCCUCAGGA
This 1119-nucleotide ribosomal RNA is filed under the name uncultured eukaryote. RNAcentral's name for it is "eukaryotic LSU rRNA". It matches the Rfam family "Eukaryotic large subunit ribosomal RNA", at positions 21 to 978 of the family's 3401-position model. The record is from RNAcentral.